RNAcentral lists this non-coding RNA (105 nucleotides) under Fukomys damarensis (Damara mole-rat). Lineage: Eukaryota; Metazoa; Chordata; Mammalia; Rodentia; Bathyergidae. The record is from RNAcentral.
GAAAAAGAUGAAAAGAGGCAUUAGUACUCCCCUUGACACGGAUGGAGGAGGCCCUCGAGCCUGACAGAUGCAUAUGGUUAAGACAUCAAUUAACCAAAAUUAAAA